Molecule: ribosomal RNA, 501 nt
Filed under: uncultured bacterium
Lineage: Bacteria
Description: partial 16S ribosomal RNA
Rfam family: Bacterial small subunit ribosomal RNA
Source: RNAcentral
AUUGAACGCUGGCGGCAGGCUUAACACAUGCAAGUCGAGCGGGGGAAGGUAGCUUGCUACUGGACCUAGCGGCGGACGGGUGAGUAAUGCUUAGGAAUCUGCCUAUUAGUGGGGGACAACAUCUCGAAAGGGAUGCUAAUACCGCAUACGUCCUACGGGAGAAAGCAGGGGAUCUUCGGACCUUGCGCUAAUAGAUGAGCCUAAGUCGGAUUAGCUAGUGGGUGGGGUAAAGGCCUACCAAGGCGACGAUCUGUAGCGGGUCUGAGAGGAUGAUCCGCCACACUGGGGCUGAGACACGGCCCAGACUCCUACGGGAGGCAGCAGUGGGGAAUAUUGGACAAUGGGGGGAACCCUGAUCCAGCCAUGCCGCGUGUGUGAAGAAGGCCUUAUGGUUGUAAAGCACUUUAAGCGAGGAGGAGGCUACUCUAGUUAAUACCUAGGGAUAGUGGACGUUACUCGCAGAAUAAGCACCGGCUAACUCUGUGCCAGCCGCCGCCGUAA